GAUGAAGAACGUAGCGAAAUGCGAUAAGUAAUGUGAAUUGCAGAAUUCCGUGAAUCAUCGAAUCUUUGAACGCAUAUUGCGCCCUCUGGUAUUCCGGAGGGCAUGCCUGUUCGAGCGUCAUUUCAACCAUCAAGCCCCAGGCUUGUGUUGGGGACCUGCGGCUGCCGCAGGCCCUGAAAACCAGUGGCGGGCUCGCUGUCACACCGGGCGUAGUAGAUUUUAUCUCGCUCAGGGCGUGCUGCGGGUUCCGGCCGUUAAAAAGCCUUUUUUACCCAAGGUUGACCUCGGAUCAGGUAGGAAGACCCGCUGAACUUAAGCAUAUCAAUAAGCGGAGGA
Molecule: unclassified non-coding RNA, 336 nt
Filed under: soil metagenome
Description: partial contains 5.8S ribosomal RNA, internal transcribed spacer 2, and large subunit ribosomal RNA
Rfam family: 5.8S ribosomal RNA (bases 1-120)
Source: RNAcentral